UACGAAGGGUGCUAGCGUUGCUCGGAUUUGCUGGGCGUAAAGGGCGCGUAGGCGGUUCGUACAGUCAGACGUGAAAUUCCUGGGCUCAACCUGGGGGCUGCGUUUGAUACGUGCGGACUUGAGUGCGGAAGAGGGUCGUGGAAUUCCCAGUGUAGAGGUGAAAUUCGUAGAUAUUGGGAAGAACACCGGUGGCGAAGGCGGCGACCUGGUCCGAUACUGACGCUGAGGCGCGAAAGCGUGGGGAGCAAACAGG
This 253-nucleotide ribosomal RNA is filed under the name uncultured bacterium. RNAcentral's name for it is "partial 16S ribosomal RNA". It matches the Rfam family "Bacterial small subunit ribosomal RNA", at positions 524 to 776 of the family's 1533-position model. The record is from RNAcentral.